This 794-nucleotide ribosomal RNA is filed under the name uncultured bacterium. RNAcentral describes it as "bacterial SSU rRNA". It matches the Rfam family "Bacterial small subunit ribosomal RNA", at positions 554 to 1348 of the family's 1533-position model. The record is from RNAcentral.
UUGGGCGUAAAGAGCUUGUAGGCGGCUUGUCGCGUCUGCUGUGAAAACCCGGGGCUUAACCCCGGGCUUGCAGUGGGUACGGGCAGGCUAGAGUGUGGUAGGGGAGACUGGAAUUCCUGGUGUAGCGGUGGAAUGCGCAGAUAUCAGGAGGAACACCGAUGGCGAAGGCAGGUCUCUGGGCCAUGACUGACGCUGAGAAGCGAAAGCGUGGGGAGCGAACAGGAUUAGAUACCCUGGUAGUCCACGCCGUAAACGUUGGGCGCUAGGUGUGGGUCCCAUUCCACGGGGUCCGUGCCGCAGCUAACGCAUUAAGCGCCCCGCCUGGGGAGUACGGCCGCAAGGCUAAAACUCAAAGGAAUUGACGGGGGCCCGCACAAGCGGCGGAGCAUGCGGAUUAAUUCGAUGCAACGCGAAGAACCUUACCAAGGCUUGACAUGUACCGGAAACCCUCGGAGACGGGGGCCCCGCAAGGCUGGUACACAGGUGGUGCAUGGUUGUCGUCAGCUCGUGUCGUGAGAUGUUGGGUUAAGUCCCGCAACGAGCGCAACCCUCGUUCUAUGUUGCCAGCACGUGAUGGUGGGGACUCAUAGGAGACUGCCGGGGUCAACUCGGAGGAAGGUGGGGAUGACGUCAAAUCAUCAUGCCCCUUACGUCUUGGGCUUCACGCAUGCUACAAUGGCCGGUACAGAGGGCUGCUAAGCCGCGAGGUGGAGCGAAUCCCUUAAAGCCGGUCUCAGUUCGGAUUGGGGUCUGCAACUCGACCCCACGAAGUCGGAGUCGCUAGUAAUCGCAGA